GAUGAACGCUGGCGGCGUGCCUAAUACAUGCAAGUCGAGCGAACGGACGAGAAGCUUGCUUCUCUGAUGUUAGCGUCGGACGGGUGAGUAACACGUGGAUAACCUACCUAUAAGACUGGGAUAACUUCGGGAAACCGGAGCUAAUACCGGAUAAUAUUUUGAACCGCAUGGUUCAAAAGUGAAAGACGGUCUUGCUUUCACUUAUAGAUGGAUCCGCGCUGCAUUAGCUAGUUGGUAAGGUAACGGCUUACCAAGGCAACGAUGCAUAGCCGACCUGAGAGGGUGAUCGGCCACACUGGAACUGAGACACGGUCCAGACUCCUACGGGAGGCAGCAGUAGGGAAUCUUCCGCAAUGGGCGAAAGCCUGACGGAGCAACGCCGCGUGAGUGAUGAAGGUCUUCGGAUCGUAAAACUCUGUUAUUAGGGAAGAACAUAUGUGUAAGUAACUGUGCACAUCUUGACGGUACCUAAUCAGAAAGCCACGGCUAACUACGUG
Molecule: ribosomal RNA, 497 nt
Filed under: uncultured bacterium
Lineage: Bacteria
Description: partial 16S ribosomal RNA
Rfam family: Bacterial small subunit ribosomal RNA
Source: RNAcentral